Molecule: transfer RNA, 71 nt
Filed under: Russula lepida
Lineage: Eukaryota; Fungi; Basidiomycota; Agaricomycetes; Russulales; Russulaceae
Description: tRNA-Glu
Rfam family: tRNA
About the family: Transfer RNA (tRNA) molecules are approximately 80 nucleotides in length. Their secondary structure includes four short double-helical elements and three loops (D, anti-codon, and T loops).
Source: RNAcentral
GGUUUUUUAGUAUAAUGGUCGUACGAUCACCCUUCACGUCUUAAGUAUCAGUUCGAAUCUGGUAAAAGCCA